GCUGUGGGCCAGCCUGAUGAA
RNAcentral lists this unclassified non-coding RNA (21 nucleotides) under Mus musculus (house mouse). RNAcentral describes it as "oocyte_clustered_small_RNA11510". The record is from RNAcentral. Lineage: Eukaryota; Metazoa; Chordata; Mammalia; Rodentia; Muridae.